UACGAAGGGGGCUAGCGUUGCUCGGAAUUACUGGGCGUAAAGGGCUUGUAGGUGGCCAACUAAGUCAGACGUGAAAUCCCUCAGCUUAACUGGGGAACUGCUUCUGAUACUGGAUGGCUUGAGUUUGGGAGAGGGAUGCGGAAUUCCAGGUGUAGCGGUGAAAUGCGUAGAUAUCUGGAGGAACACCGGUGGCGAAGGCGGCAUCCUGGACCAACACUGACACUGAAAAGCGAAAGCCAGGGGAGCAAACGGG
This 253-nucleotide ribosomal RNA is filed under the name uncultured bacterium. RNAcentral's name for it is "partial 16S ribosomal RNA". It matches the Rfam family "Bacterial small subunit ribosomal RNA", at positions 524 to 776 of the family's 1533-position model. The record is from RNAcentral.